AAGAGCUGAAUGCGGGAAAACCGCACGUUCAGUUCUGUGAGGGGCGCAUGUGAAAGCAUAUCGUCUACUCGAC
This 73-nucleotide non-coding RNA is filed under the name Pseudoselenomonas ruminantium. The record is from RNAcentral. Lineage: Bacteria; Bacillati; Bacillota; Negativicutes; Selenomonadales; Selenomonadaceae.